CCUACGGGUGGCUGCAGUCGAGAAUCAUUCACAAUGGGGGAAACCCUGAUGGUGCGACGCCGCGUGGGGGAAUGAAGGUCUUCGGGUUGUAAACCCCUGUCAUGUGGGAGCAAAUUAAAAAGAUAGUACCACAAGAGGAAGAGACGGCUAAAUCUGUGCCAACAGCCGCCGUAAUACAGGGGUCUCAAGCGGUGUUCGGAAGCAAUGGGCGUAAAGCGUGUGUAGGCUGUUUCGUAAGUCGUGUGUUAAAGGCGCGGGCUCAACCCGCGGACGGCACAUGAUACUGCGAGACUAGAGUGAUGGAGGGGGAAGCGGAAUUCGCGGUGUAGCAGUGAAAUGCGUAGAUAUCGAGCGGAACACUCGUGGCGAAGGCGGGUUCCUGGACAUUAACUGACGCUGAGGCACGAAGGCCAGGGGAGCGAAAGGGAUUAGAUACCCCUGUAGUC
This 446-nucleotide ribosomal RNA is filed under the name uncultured bacterium. RNAcentral describes it as "partial 16S ribosomal RNA". It matches the Rfam family "Bacterial small subunit ribosomal RNA", at positions 338 to 795 of the family's 1533-position model. The record is from RNAcentral.